CAAAGUGUAAUUUAAAUUAAAAUCUUUCGCUUACACCGUAACCAUGUCUGUUAAACCCAGACCACUUUGA
RNAcentral lists this transfer RNA (70 nucleotides) under Mantella madagascariensis (Madagascar golden frog). RNAcentral describes it as "tRNA-Val". The record is from RNAcentral. Lineage: Eukaryota; Metazoa; Chordata; Amphibia; Anura; Mantellidae.